RNAcentral lists this unclassified non-coding RNA (246 nucleotides) under uncultured Pleosporales. Its description in RNAcentral is "sequence contains 5.8S rRNA gene". Lineage: Eukaryota; Fungi; Ascomycota; Dothideomycetes; Pleosporales. The record is from RNAcentral.
GAACGCACAUUGCGCCCUUUGGUAUUCCUUAGGGCAUGCCUGUUCGAGCGUCAUUUACACCCUCAAGCACAGCUUGGUGUUGGGCGUCUGUCCCGCUUCGGCGCGGACUCGCCUCAAAACGAUUGGCAGCCACUUCAGCGGCUUUGAGCGCAGCAGAAUUGCGUCUCUCGUCGCGGCGGGUGGCAUCCAGUAAGCAACAUUUAUAUCUUGACCUCGGAUCAGGUAGGGAUACCCGCUGAACUUAAG